CACGUAGGGUGCGAGCGUUGUCCGGAAUUAUUGGGCGUAAAGAGCUCGUAGGCGGUCUGUCGCGUCUGCUGUGAAAACUCGGGGCUUAACCCCGGGCCUGCAGUGGGUACGGGCAGACUAGGGUGCGGUAGGGGAGACUGGAAUUCCUGGUGUAGCGGUGAAAUGCGCAGAUAUCAGGAAGAACACCCGUGGCGAAGGCGGCUCUCUGGGACGGUACUGACGCUGAGACGCGAAAGCGUGGGGAGCGAACAGG
RNAcentral lists this ribosomal RNA (253 nucleotides) under uncultured bacterium. RNAcentral's name for it is "partial 16S ribosomal RNA". It matches the Rfam family "Bacterial small subunit ribosomal RNA", at positions 524 to 776 of the family's 1533-position model. The record is from RNAcentral.